AACGCGAAGAACCUUACCUGGAUUUGAAAUACAGAGGAAGUUAGCAGAGAUGCUAACGCCCGUAAGGGCUUUUGUACAGGUGCUGCAUGGCUGUCGUCAGCUCGUGCCGUGAGGUGUUGGGUUAAGUCCCGCAACGAGCGCAACCCUUAUCAUUAGUUGCCAACGCGAAAGGCGGGGACUCUAGUGAGACUGCCUGGGUUAACCAGGAGGAAGGUGAGGAUGACGUCAAGUCCGCAUGGCCUUUAUAUCCAGGGCUACACACGUGCUACAAUGGUCGGUACAGAAGGCAGCGAAACCGCGAGGUGGAGCAAAUCCCUAAAACCGAUCUCAGUUCAGAUUGUAGUCUGCAACUCGGCUACAUGAAGUUGGAAUUGCUAGUAAUGACGUGUCAGCAACAACGUCGUGAAUACGUUCCCGGGCCUUGUACACACCGCAUAC
RNAcentral lists this ribosomal RNA (438 nucleotides) under uncultured bacterium. RNAcentral describes it as "bacterial SSU rRNA". It matches the Rfam family "Bacterial small subunit ribosomal RNA", at positions 958 to 1397 of the family's 1533-position model. The record is from RNAcentral.